ACGCUAGCGGCAGGCUUAAUACAUGCAAGUCGUGGGGCAGCGCAGGUAGCAAUACUGGGCGGCGACCGGCAAACGGGUGCGGAACACGUACACAACCUUCCUUCAAGUGGGGAAUAGCCCAGAGAAAUUUGGAUUAAUACCCCGUAACAUAACGAUGUGGCAUCACAUUGUUAUUAUAGCUUCGGCGCUUGUUGAUGGGUGUGCGGCUGAUUAGAUAGUUGGCGGGGUAACGGCCCACCAAGUCUACGAUCAGUAGCUGAUGUGAGAGCAUGAUCAGCCACACGGGCACUGAGACACGGGCCCGACUCCUACGGGAGGCAGCAGUAAGGAAUAUUGGUCAAUGGACGAAAGUCUGAACCAGCCAUGCCGCGUGAAGGAUUAAGGUCCUCUGGAUUGUAAACUUCUUUUAUCUGGGACGAAAAAAGGCGAUUCUUCGUCACUUGACGGUACCAGAUGAAUAAGCACCGGCUAACUCCGUGCCAGCAGCCGCGGUAAUACGGAGGGUGCAAGCGUUAUCCGGAUUCACUGGGUUUAAAGGGUGCGUAGGCGGGCAGGUAAGUCAGUGGUGAAAUCCUAGAGCUUAACUCUAGAACUGCCAUUGAUACUAUCUGUCUUGAAUAUUGUGGAGGUUAGCGGAAUAUGUCAUGUAGCGGUGAAAUGCUUAGAUAUGACAUAGAACACCUAUUGCGAAGGCAGCUAACUACGCAUAUAUUGACGCUGAGGCACGAAAGCGUGGGGAUCAAACAGGAUUAGAUACCCUGGUAGUCCACGCCCUAAACGAUGAUUACUCGACAUUUGUGAAACACUAUA
RNAcentral lists this ribosomal RNA (810 nucleotides) under uncultured Bacteroidota bacterium. RNAcentral's name for it is "bacterial SSU rRNA". It matches the Rfam family "Bacterial small subunit ribosomal RNA", at positions 33 to 838 of the family's 1533-position model. Lineage: Bacteria; Pseudomonadati; Bacteroidota. The record is from RNAcentral.